RNAcentral lists this ribosomal RNA (480 nucleotides) under uncultured bacterium. RNAcentral's name for it is "bacterial SSU rRNA". It matches the Rfam family "Bacterial small subunit ribosomal RNA", at positions 29 to 494 of the family's 1533-position model. The record is from RNAcentral.
AUUGAACGCUGGCGGCACGCUUAACACAUGCAAGUCGAACGGCAGCGGGAGAGAGCUUGCUCUCUUGCCGGCGAGUGGCGAACGGGUGAGUAACGCGUAGGGAUCUGCCUGUUAGAGGGGGAUAAGCCGGGGAAACUCGGUCUAAUACCGCAUACGCUCUACGGAGGAAAGUAUGGGACUGGAGACGGCCAUACACUAACAGAUGAACCUGCGUUAGAUUAGCUAGUUGGUAGGGUAAAGGCCUACCAAGGCGACGAUCUAUAGCUGGUCUGAGAGGAUGACCAGCCACACUGGAACUGAGAGACGGACCAGACUCCUACGGGAGGCAGCAGUGGGGAAUAUUGGACAAUGGGGGGCAACCCUGAUCCAGCGAUGCCGCGUGUGUGAAGAAGGCCUGAGGGUUGUAAAGCACUUUCAGGGGCGAAGAAGGCUCGUGCACGAAUACUGCACGGGAUUGACGUUAGCCCCAGAAGAAGCACC